AGGCCUAAUACAUGCAAGUCGGACGGGAUUCAGGGAGUAGCUUGCUACGAACUGAUGAGAGUGGCGCACGGGUGCGUAACGCGUGAGCAACCUACCCAUAUCAGGGGGAUAGCCUCUCGAAAGAGAGAUUAACACCGCAUAACAUUGAAGAACGGCAUCGUUUUUCAAUCAAAUAUUUAUAGGAUAUGGAUGGGCUCGCGUGACAUUAGCUAGUUGGAGAGGUAACGGCUCACCAAGGCUACGAUGUCUAGGGGCUCUGAGAGGAGAAUCCCCCACACUGGUACUGAGACACGGACCAGACUCCUACGGGAGGCAGCAGUAAGGAAUAUUGGUCAAUGGAGGCAACUCUGAACCAGCCAUGCCGCGUGCAGGAUGACUGCCCUAUGGGUUGUAAACUGCUUUUGUCAGGGAAUAAACCUUUCCACGUGUGGAGAGCUGAAUGUACCUGAAGAAUAAGGAUCGGCUAACUCCGUGCCAGCAGCCGCGGUAAUACGGAGGAUCCAAGCGUUAUCCGGAUUUAUUGGGUUUAAAGGGUGCGUAGGCGGUCCUAUAAGUCAGUGGUGAAAGACGGCAGCUUAACUGUCGCAGUGCCUUUGAUACUGUAGGACUUGAAUCUAUUUGAAGUGGGCGGAAUAAGACAAGUAGCGGUGAAAUGCAUAGAUAUGUCUUAGAACUCCGAUUGCGAAGGCAGCUCACUAAGUUAGUAUUGACGCUGAUGCACGAAAGCGUGGGGAUCAAACAGGAUUAGAUACCCUGGUAGUCCACGCCCUAAACGAUGAUAACUCGAUGUUUGCGAUACACAGUAAGCGUCCAAGCGAAAGCGUUAAGUUAUCCACCUGGGGAGUACGGUCGCAAGAUUGAAACUCAAAGGAAUUGACGGGGGCCCGCACAAGCGGAGGAGCAUGUGGUUUAAUUCGAUGAUACGCGAGGAACCUUA
This 937-nucleotide ribosomal RNA is filed under the name Sphingobacterium sp. WTPout_71. RNAcentral describes it as "bacterial SSU rRNA". It matches the Rfam family "Bacterial small subunit ribosomal RNA", at positions 44 to 973 of the family's 1533-position model. Lineage: Bacteria; Pseudomonadati; Bacteroidota; Sphingobacteriia; Sphingobacteriales; Sphingobacteriaceae. The record is from RNAcentral.